Molecule: ribosomal RNA, 253 nt
Filed under: uncultured bacterium
Lineage: Bacteria
Description: partial 16S ribosomal RNA
Rfam family: Bacterial small subunit ribosomal RNA
Source: RNAcentral
UACGUAGGGCGCAAGCGUUGUCCGGAAUUAUUGGGCGUAAAGAGCUCGUAGGCGGCUUGUCACGUCGGGUGUGAAAGACCGGGGCUUAACCCCGGUUCUGCAUUCGAUACGGGCUAGCUAGAGUGUGGUAGGGGAGAUCGGAAUUCCUGGUGUAGCGGUGAAAUGCGCAGAUAUCAGGAGGAACACCAGUGGCGAAGGCGGUGCUCUGGGCCGGAACUGACGCUGAGGAGCGAAAGCGUGGGGAGCAAACAGG